GCUCUGCUCCAGCAACAGGGAACAGCCGGUUUCUCUGCUGAGUUUAGCCUCCUUCCCUUCACCCACAUGGUCGCCCUUCGCCUUCCUGGCCCCCUAAGUCACCUGUGGCCUUGUCAUCCUCCAGGCAUCACUCCCUGUCCAAGGCCUUCCGUCGCCCCUCUGGCGCAGGUGUCUCUAAAGAAUCCUGAACAGCAAGACAUGAAACCACAAAGAAUUCACAUGGUCUGCACAUUCAAAACUUCCAGGGAUUUUGGAGACUUUGCAAAACUUUACAUUCCUAAAGUUGUAUAUGCCACUUUACAGUUUAGAAGAGACCUUGCUUCAGAAAACAGUCAAAGGUCCUCAUUCUGCAUCAUCGUAGUCAGUUUUAUCUUGGGCACCAUAAAAUUCUACUUCUUCCCGCAGUAGCAGACUGAUGUCACCCACAGAACAUAAUGGAUUCUAGGAACAGGCCCACAGAGGAAAAGUGGGUGAGUAUAAAGAUAGGUAAGAGGAAGAGAGAAGCUGGAGGCUGGGGAUCUUAACCAUGUGUUUCCACUCAUUUCCACAUAAAACAGUUAAACCAGAAACUGCAGGAUAUUGAAAUUCCAUGUCUUGGGCCAAACUUUUACCUAACUGAUUUGACACGUUGAAUAGAAACACUAUGGCAAUAUCUAUGCACCCAAACUGUUGCAACUGGUUGGGAGCCAACAUAUUAAAAUGCAAUCAGGCUGGUGCGAUGGCUCACACCUGUAAUCCCAACACUUUGGGAGGCUGAGGCAGGUGGAUCACUUGAGACCAGGACUUCGAGACCAGCCUGGUCAACAUGGUGAAACCCUGUCUCUACUAAAAAUACAAAAAUUAGCCAGGCACGGUGGCACACACUUGUAUUCCAAGCUACUCAGGAGGUUGAGGCAGGAGAAUCGCUUGAACUAGGCAGGUGGAGGUCACAGUGAGCCAAGAUCACGCCACUGCACUCCAGCCUGGGCGAGAGUGAGUCCUUGUCUAAAAAAAAAAAAAAAAAAAAAUCACAAUCAAAUAACCCAUUUGGAGAAUAACUUCCUAUUUGCAUAAAUUUUCCAAACUGGUUUGUGUGUAUAGAAAUUCUCUACUUCUCGAUGGCUGACAGGACAAACCAAAAUAGUGACAGUUUGUAGGAUCUUUUUGGCAGGCUAUCAUAAUCCUAAUUUUAAAGCACGUCAGCAGUGUAGUCAGUGACUGUGUGACUAUGCUAGCAGUGUAGUGAGUAUGUUAAAAAGCCAAAAACUUCUGAUUUAUUCAUUACGGUGAAUCUCAGAGUAUGAUCAGCAAAUUAAAGUUACUACACGUUCAACAUUAGAUUUGAUGAUUUGGUGUUCUCGGCUCUUUCAAAAAAUUAUGACUGAGAAUAAAGGAAAGGUACACACUCUGGAUGCAAUGAAAUGAAUUAUUUAAUUAGUCUAUUGGUCUUAUUAGAACCUAGUAGCUCCAGGAAAUUCUUAACAAAUAUUUUUCUCCUGCAAUAUCCUCUAAAAGAGAAAAAGCAGUAAAGCACAGAAAGAAACAUCACACUGCUCGGAACCCUCGUAAAUAGUUUCUGAAUGUUAGCAUUUUUAGAAAAGAAUAUUAAAUAUUUUUAAAUGCUGAAGACAUGUUAAAUUAAGUACUAUCUGUUGAAAAUAACAUUUUAAUUCUAGAGUUUAGUCCUUUCCAUUGUGGUGAAUUUGAUGCAUUGAAAAGAAGUAAAAGAAUAUUUUUUUCUACAGUUUGGCAAUUUUGAACUAUAAUUUUUUUAUUCUGGUGAAAAACAUUUUGCAGAAAAUUAUGGAAACAUACCUAGGGACCCUGCAGUAAUAUUAUAGAUUUCUAAAAAAAAAAAAAAAACAUUGCAAUAUAGACAUGAAAAUUGAAUUCAAGAUUAGGAAGUAAACUGAGAAAACAAUAUUUAAAAAUAAUGCAGUUUAAAUGUGUCAUUGACUCAACAUUUCCCCCAUAUUCUAAAUCAAUAUUAAUAAUACAUUUCAGAGUGCAUCCGUUUUUGCCAUUGCUAAUUUUUCUCUAUUAUGCCAGAGUAUGAGUAAGAUUUUUGCUAUUUUUUAAAAAGGCUACAUUAAGAUUCAGCCUCAAAAGAGGUUCAAUUCCUAGUAACUGCAGGUGCAUGGCACUUACUGCUAAUUGGACAUGACAGCUUUUAGCAAAUCUGGUAGCUGCUAAAAGCCGCUGUUGCUGUGGUGCUGCCUCACCAGCACGCAGGGCAUGGUACCUCUCCGCUACCAAAGCUCCAUGUCCACAAAAUUUGCCAACUAAAAUACCCAGCCAACUCCUUCACUUAAAUGCAUAGAGACGGAAAUCUCAAAGAGCUAUCAACAAGGUCUCUGCAAGAAAAUGCAGCCCUCUUAAUGCAUAUUAAAUAGUCUCAUUAAAAUACUUCAGUAAUGCAUCUUUCUGUUAGAAUCUGUUGUUCUGAGCCCUAUAACCAUGUGGGGUAGGUUUCAAAAUAAAAUGCUGCUAUUAGCACAUUAAAUAAUUAUCUUCUCUCCUGUGUGCCAUACCCACUGGCUGGUACACUGUCGUUUUGGAAAAUAUUGUGAACCAAGUUAUAUCUGUGCCUCAUAUCAUCUUUUGUGUUUAUGUAGGAUGUUUGUUCUGAGAAAACUAAAAAUACUUGGUUUAAAUUGGAUCACAUUUUACCAGUUAAGUGAACCUUACCAGGUAAGUCUCCUGGUUUGGAUAUUAACUCUUUCCAUUUGGGUUUCUUUUUCCCCUAAAUUUCUACCUUCAGUAGAAGUGUUCACUUUUAUCAACAGUGAUUUUGAAAAACAUUCAAAGUCUGACGAAACUGCCAUCAGAGCACCAUUGCUGUCAUCCAUUUUCCAAGACCCUGCAUCUUAUUCUUAGCAUUAUGUGCAUUCUAUGAUGAUAAGCUGGGUUAUCAGAAAGGAGUCACAGGGACCACGUGAGAAGAGAAAAGUCCAGAAGUAGUAACAUUAAAAUAAUCAAACUUUCACUCUCAAACAGAUAAUGAACGAAUUGCCUGGCUGUACAAUUAUGGACCAAAUACAUGUAAAUAUUAUACAAGUGAGCAUUUGUUUCCACCUGUUUUCUAGUUUGACCCCAUAAAUCAUAGGCCUCAAAAAAAUCCCAGUGCAGAGCCUUUCCCUAAAGAAGUUAAUAUCACCCAUUUUAGGCAAAUUUGUCCAGGAUCAUAUGGCAAAGUCGGGCUCAGCCAAAAAUUGAGUUCACUAAUGCUGAUGCCAAGCUAAUUAAUGUUUCCUUAAAUAUCUAAAUUGUCUAUCAAAUGCUGUUCUAAGUGUCUGAAGACUAGUACUCAGACUCUUAAACAAUUUAAACUUCAGUUCUCCAAGGCUGUCUGCUUUUACUGCAUUUCGCAUAAAAAUAUUUUUCCUCUAUUUGGGUUAAUUUUCCAGGUUCUCCUCAAAUAAUCAUUGGGCUUCUGGAACAAAAGCUUACAGAAACAAGAUGAACAAUUUGAACUCUGACUUGUAUUUUCUAUUUGUCAGAACGUGAUUUUUUUUUCAACUUUCUAAUCACAGUUAUAAAGUCAAGCCUGAUUUUCAGAACGAAGUUUACCUGAUUGUCAAUAACUUCUCAAGUCCCCUAUCUUCAAAAAUGGCACAUUUGAUGGCAAAAUACAUAACCUGUCUGAAAGGUCUUGUUUUUACUGUUAGAAUUCGAGAAGAAACUUCUAUUUCAAAAAAAGCAAAGGAUUGUCUCUCACCCUAGAGGAAAACCAUGUUGGAAAGCUUGGCAAAGUUAUACCUGGUCAUUUACAAUUUUUUAUUAGAAACUUGGGAAAUGUUCUUCACUAAAAGAAACCUUUUAAAAUUCCUAGAGAAGUAGGUUCCUUGCUCACCGGCAUUGUGAGAACAUUGACCUAUAUCUGGGAAGGAGGAACCAAAUACCACCUCUCCCUGUUGCCCACCAUCCCACUAAACAUACUCUACAAAUUACCAGUCACCAACUCUUCAUCAGUGUCCAGACUGCCAUUAACUGCCAUUGCUGAGAAUGACUGAUUACACAGCAUCAAUUAUCAGAGACAGUAACAAAGAUAACUUUUACUUCCUGGAAAACUUUUGCCAUAGGAAAAAAUAUACUCACAAGUGUACAAAAAGAAAAAUUCAAUCCUGUAAAUGUGGAUAUACAUAACCAGAGCUGAAUUUUUUUCAUGAAGAGUUUGAAUACAUAAAACUCUUGAAUCUACAUGAAAAAAUAAACCAUGAAUAUCCUAAAAAGCAAGUAUUAGUUUACAUGACACAAUAUGAAAUGUAUCUAAGUGUCUUUCUCUGAUAACACCCAGCUAUACUCAUGUCCCCCUCCCUUGUUCCUUUUAUAUUUAAAACCUGACAUGUCACACAAUUAGCAUCUUAUGUAAAUCAUAUUUCAUAGCAUUUAUUAGCUGAGUGUUGAAAUCAUAUUUAUUAUGUAACCAUAAGAUGUUCUAUAGGCUAAUCCUAUUCACUAAUCACUAGAGGUCUCUAUAACUUGUUUCUCAAUGAGAUUGUAAGAUCUGUGUUAAUAGAGAUCUAUCUAGCAGUUCAUUUUCCCCCAUGGAGCUAAAUUUAUCACAGUGGCACAGCGAGCUGCCUCUCUGCCUGCCUCCCAGACUGGGGACUCUAUGAUCCCCUUCCUCCAGAGUAAUAUGGAGACACAGGGUGACCCAGCUGGAAUUCAUUUUCCAAGUCCACCCUGCAACUAAAAGUGGAUUGCCAAUGUAUUUUGAGAAGUAAUGUGUACAAUUUUCAUGUUUAUUGCUUAAGGGGAAAUGCCUAUGGGGACAGGUUGUUCAGCAGGUACAAAGUUGCAGUUAGAUGGGAGGAAUAAGUUCUGGUGUCCCAUUGCACAGCAGGGUGACUGUGGCUAACAAUAAUGUAUUGUAUAUUUCAAACUAACUAGAAAGGAGGAUUUUUAAUGCUUUACCACAGAGAAAUGAUAAAUGUUUGAGAUGAUGGAUUUGCUGAUUAUCCUGAUUUCAUCAUUACACAAUGCAUACACAUGUCAAAACCUCUCAUUUUAUCCCAUGAAUAUGUACAGUUAUUAUAUUCAAUUAAAUUAAAAAUAAUUUUUA
Molecule: non-coding RNA, 5044 nt
Organism: Callithrix jacchus (white-tufted-ear marmoset)
Lineage: Eukaryota; Metazoa; Chordata; Mammalia; Primates; Cebidae
Source: RefSeq, a predicted model, not a curated record